This 65-nucleotide transfer RNA is filed under the name Coelioxys fenestratus. RNAcentral's name for it is "Coelioxys fenestrata tRNA-Leu". Lineage: Eukaryota; Metazoa; Arthropoda; Insecta; Hymenoptera; Megachilidae. The record is from RNAcentral.
AUUAAUAUGGCAGAAAAGUGCAAUGAAUUUAAACUUCAUAAAUAAAAUUUUUAUUUUUAUUAAUA